RNAcentral lists this ribosomal RNA (429 nucleotides) under Chloroflexota bacterium. RNAcentral describes it as "Chloroflexi bacterium partial 16S ribosomal RNA". It matches the Rfam family "Bacterial small subunit ribosomal RNA", at positions 355 to 776 of the family's 1533-position model. Lineage: Bacteria; Bacillati; Chloroflexota. The record is from RNAcentral.
UGGGGAAUAUUGCACAAUGGGCGCAAGCCUGAUGCAGCCAUGCCGCGUGUAUGAAGAAGGCCUUCGGGUUGUAAAGUACUUUCAGCGGGGAGGAAGGGAGUAAAGUUAAUACCUUUGCUCAUUGACGUUACCCGCAGAAGAAGCACCGGCUAACUCCGUGCCAGCAGCCGCGGUAAUACGGAGGGUGCAAGCGUUAAUCGGAAUUACUGGGCGUAAAGCGCACGCAGGCGGUCUGUCAAGUCGGAUGUGAAAUCCCCGGGCUCAACCUGGGAACGGCAGUCGAAACUGGCAGGCUAGGGUCUUGGAGAGGGGGGUGGAAUUCCAGGUGGGGCGGGGGAAUGCGGAAGAGACUGGGGAAAUACCGGUGGCGAAGGCGGCCCCCUGGACAAAGACUGACGCUCAGGUGGGAAAGGGUGGGGAGCAAACAGG